Ameiurus melas (black bullhead) is the source of this 72-nucleotide non-coding RNA. NCBI's taxonomy places the organism in Eukaryota, Metazoa, Chordata, Actinopteri, Siluriformes, Ictaluridae. The record is from the annotation of a GenBank genome assembly.
UCCCCGAUGGACAAGUGGCUAGCAUGCGGUGGUCUCAUCACUGUGGCCCGGGUUUGAUUCCUGGUCAGGGAA